CCCAAGUAAUAAUAGAAUUCACCGCACCUAACACACAACUCAACAAAACCGAACCUCAGCAGACCACAAAUACUCCACCCUUAUUCCUAAGGCCACGCAGCUGUUACAAGUCCAAAUAAGCAUGCACAAAUUGGAAUGAGGAGGGACAACUUGUUUAUACAAAAACAGGUGACAAGUUAACCAUUUAUUAUAUAUGCAGAGCUUUGAGCAGUUUCCCACACUAACGGUUCCAUCAUUUUCAUAUCUAUAGACACACAAUGAACACCACUUCAACUCCCUAGCUGUCUCCUCUUUCUAAGUCCAAAAUUCCAAAUAGCUCUAUGGAAAUCAAUAAAAAGGGGAAUAUUGCAUUGGGCAAUUACUAUCUCACAUAUUCUUCAUGCCAUCAGACUCUGUUAAAGUCUGAUCUAUCGACUCCAGUUGAUUCCUCAGGUUCUGAUUGUCCUCUAGCAAGCGAUCAUACUCUAGAAGGAAACCUUCAGAUUGUUUUCGCAAAGCCUCCGCUUCAGUUUCUGCAGCCUUUGCUUCCUUCACUCUUGCCUCGCAUUCAGAUUCUAGAUUCUUGAUCUUAGUCUUCAAGCUAACAAUCUCUUCCCCCAGCGCCUUGAUCUCCUGUGAAUUACCAUUUUUCCCAUCAUCAAGGCUCCGGCUUUGUUUCUUAGCAGCCUCCAUUGUCUUUCUGAGUAAACGUAGCUCUCUUAUGUAAUGGUGCAAUCUAUCUAUCAUAAAUGAAAGGAAUAGCAAGAAUCCUGCAUGAAAUUAUUUGUGAAAUCAAAUGCUAAACUUUUAAGUAAUAAUAUCAACAUGCAUUAUUUGAUGAUUACUACCAAUCCAAGUCAAAGCCUCCAGCCUUCAGUAAAAGUCCACAUUGCAACAAAAUAUUCCACCACAUUCCAACAAAAUAUAAAGAUUAAAAUAAUAAUAAUAAUAAAUAAAGCUGCUUUCAGGAACUUGUGCACACACUAAACCUCACCAUUCUUUUCCUGCAUAUAGUAAAUACGCUAUACACCAUGCCAUAUUAGAGUGUGAAGCACCAACUUUUGAACAAGGCAAACUUGAACAGAAGAAGAAGCAUUGUAUUAAACUACUGUUUCACAGAGCCUUCCACAAAAAUUAAUCAAGAAGUUUAGAUACUGCCACCCAUCUCUAGGCAACAUAAAUUUAAUUGCUAGCAUUUCAAGUAAUGUAAUGAGACUUAUGCAACAGCAUAGAAUUACAAUUCAAUAAAUCAAAAUCUUAAGCGAAUUAUUAUUAACUGCAGGCAAUCAAAAGCAGCAAUAUUAAAGUGGCAUAUUAACAACACAACCAGCAUCAAUAGUUCAGAAGCAAAAAUUAACCAGCCUUAAAUCUUGAUCAUUGGAAAAAGGAUCUUCAAACUUCAUUUGAGAUAAAUGACCAGAUGAUGUAGAACAAGCUCUGACACUAAAUUGAUGUAGAACAAGAAGAAACUAA
Molecule: unclassified non-coding RNA, 1452 nt
Filed under: Hevea brasiliensis (rubber tree)
Lineage: Eukaryota; Viridiplantae; Streptophyta; Magnoliopsida; Malpighiales; Euphorbiaceae
Source: RNAcentral